UAAACUGGAAAUGGAUAAUCAGACCUGGC
Molecule: non-coding RNA, 29 nt
Filed under: Rattus norvegicus (Norway rat)
Lineage: Eukaryota; Metazoa; Chordata; Mammalia; Rodentia; Muridae
Source: RNAcentral